This 988-nucleotide ribosomal RNA is filed under the name uncultured bacterium. RNAcentral's name for it is "bacterial SSU rRNA". It matches the Rfam family "Archaeal small subunit ribosomal RNA", at positions 343 to 1336 of the family's 1478-position model. The record is from RNAcentral.
AAAACUUUGCAAUGCGGGAAACCGUGACAAGGGAACUCUGAGUGCCCGUAAAAUCGGGCUGUCCAUCAGUUUAAAAAACUGGUGAAGAAAGGGCCGGGCAAGACCGGUGCCAGCCGCCGCGGUAAUACCGGCGGCUCGAGUGGUGGCCACUAUUACUGGGCUUAAAGCGUUCGUAGCUGGUUUGUUAAGUCUCUGGGGAAAUCUUCCGGCUUAACCGGAAGGCGUCUCAGGGAUACUGGCAGACUAGGGACCGGAAGAGGUGAGAGGUACUCCAGGGGUAGGAGUGAAAUCCUGUAAUCCUUGGGGGACCACCUGUGGCGAAGGCGUCUCACCAGGACGGCUCCGACAGUGAGGGACGAAAGCUGGGGGAGCAAACCGGAUUAGAUACCCGGGUAGUCCCAGCCGUAAACGAUGUGCGUUAGGUGUAUCGGUGACCACGAGUCACCGAGGUGCCGAAGAGAAAUCGUGAAACGUACCGCCUGGGAAGUACGGUCGCAAGGCUGAAACUUAAAGGAAUUGGCGGGGGAGCACCACAACAGGUGGAGCCUGCGGUUUAAUCGGACUCAACGCCGGGAAACUCACCAGAUAAGACAGCUGAAUGAUAGUCGGGCUGAAGACUCUACUUGACUAGCUGAGAGGAGGUGCAUGGCCGUCGUCAGUUCGUACUGUGAAGCAUCCUGUUAAGUCAGGCAACGAGCGAGACCCACGCCAACAGUUGCCAGCUCGUCCUCCGGGAUGGAGGGGACACUGUUGGGACCGCCUCUGCUAAAGAGGAGGAAGGAAUGGGCAACGGUAGGUCAGCAUGCCCCGAAUUAUCUGGGCCACACGCGGGCUACAAUGGGUGGGACAAUGGGUAUCGACACCGAAAGGUGAAGGCAAUCUCCUAAACCCAUCCUUAGUUCGGAUUGUGGGCUGCAACUCGCCCACAUGAAGCUGGAAUCUGUAGUAAUCGUGUCUCAAAAUGGCACGGUGAAUACGUCCCUGCUCC